Molecule: ribosomal RNA, 922 nt
Filed under: uncultured Actinomycetes bacterium
Lineage: Bacteria; Bacillati; Actinomycetota; Actinomycetes
Description: bacterial SSU rRNA
Rfam family: Bacterial small subunit ribosomal RNA
Source: RNAcentral
AGAGUUUGAUCCUGGCUCAGGACGAACGCUGACGGUGUGCUUUAGACAUGCAAGUCGAACGAGAAAGCCCUUCGGGGUGAGUAAAGUGGCGAACGGGUGAGUAACACGUGGGUAACCUGCUCUUCGCAGGGGGAUAACCGGGGGAAACCCCGGCUAAUAGCCCGUACGCUUGCAGGGUCGCAUGGCCCUGCAAGGAAAGGUAGCUUCGGCCAUCCGGCGAAGAAUGGGCCCGCGGUACAUUAGCUAGUUGGUGGGGUAACGGCCUACCAAGGCGACGAUGUAUAGCUGGUCUGAGAGGAUGAUCAGCCACACUGGGACUGAGACACGGCCCAGACUCCUACGGGAGGCAGCAGUCGGGAAUCUUGCGCAAUGGGCGAAAGCCUGACGCAGCAACACCGUGUGAGCGACGAAGGCCUUCGGGUCGUAAAGCUCUGUUGUUGGGGACGAAGGGCGAGGGGUUAAUAGCCCCGAGCCUGACGGUACCCUUCGAGGAAGCCCCGGCUAACUACGUGCCAGCAGCCGCGGUAAUGCGUAGGGGGCGAGCGUUGUCCGGAAUCAUUGGGCGUAAAGAGCGUGUAGGCGGCUCGGUAAGUCCGCCGUGAAAACCCGGGGCUCAACCCCGGGCGUGCGGUGGAUACUGUCGAGCUAGAGGAUGGUAGAGGGGAGUGGAAUUCCCGGUGUAGCGGUGAAAUGCGCAGAUAUCGAGAGGAACACCAGUAGCGAAGGCGGCUCCCUGGGCCAUUCCUGACGCUGAGACGCGAAAGCGUGGGGAGCGAACAGGAUUAGAUACCCUGGUAGUCCACGCCGUAAACGAUGAACACUAGGUGUGGGGGGAGUCGAAUCCCUCUGUGCCGCAGCCAACGCGAUAAGUGUUCCGCCUGGGGAGUACGGCCGCAAGGCUAAACUCAAAGGAUUGACGGGG